AUUGAACGCUGGCGGAAUGCUUUACACAUGCAAGUCGAGCGGCAGCGCGGGGGCAACUCUGGCGGCGAGCGGCGAACGGGUGAGUAAUGCAUCGGAACAUGUCCGGUUGUGGGGGAUAACCUGACGAAAGCCAGGCUAAUACCGCAUGAGCUCGAGAGAGGAAAGCGGGGGACCUGCAAGGGCCUCGCGCGACCGGGUUGGCCGAUGUCCGAUUAGCAGUUGGUGGGGUAAAGGCUUACCAAGGCGAUGAUCGGUAGCUGGUCUGAGAGGAUGAUCAGCCACACUGGGACUGAGACACGGCCCAGACUCCUACGGGAGGCAGCAGU
RNAcentral lists this ribosomal RNA (326 nucleotides) under uncultured bacterium. RNAcentral describes it as "bacterial SSU rRNA". It matches the Rfam family "Bacterial small subunit ribosomal RNA", at positions 29 to 355 of the family's 1533-position model. The record is from RNAcentral.